GGAUGGUCAGCCAGAUGGGGACUGAGAGGCGGCCCCAACUCCUACGGGAGGCAGCAGCAAGGGAUAUUGCGCAAUGGACGAAAGUCUGACGCAGCGACGCCGCGUGAGGGAUGAAGGCCUUCGGGUCGUAAACCUCUUUUAUUGGUGAAGAGUAAGGACGGUAACCAGUGAAUAAGCCCCGGCUAACUACGUGCCAGCAGCCGCGGUAAUACGUAGGGGGCGAGCGUUAUCCGGAUUUACUGGGCGUAAAGAGCGCGUAGGCGGCUUCUUAAGUUGGCAGUGAAAGAUUCCGGCUCAACUGGGAUUUGUUUGUCAAUACUGAAGAGCUUGAGGGCACCAGAGGAAAGUGGAACUCGCGGUGUAGCGGUGAAAUGUGUAGAUAUCGCGAGGAACACCAGUGGCGAAGGCGGCUUUCUGGGGUGUUCCUGACGCUGAGGCGCGAAAGCGUGGGGAGCGAAGCGGAUUAGAUACCCGCGUAGUCCACGCCCUAAACGGUGGAUACUUGGUAUGGGGGGUAUCGACCCCCUCCGUGCCGAAGCUAACGCUUUAAGUAUCCCGCCUGGGAACUACGGUCGCAAGACUAAAACUCAAAGGAAUUGACGGGGGCCCGCACAAGCAGCGGAGCGUGUGGUUUAAUUCGAUGCAACACGAAAAACCUUACCAAGGCUUGACAUGCUAGUAGUAGGAACCCGAAAGGGGGACGACCGGCCUUCGGGCUGGAGCUAGCACAGGUGCUACAUGGCUGUCGUCAGCUCGUGCCGUGAGGUGUUGGGUUAAGUCCCAUAACGAGCGCAACCCUUGUUCUGUGUUGAUUUCUCACAGGAGACUGCCCAGGAAUUCUGGGAGGAAGGUGAGGAUGACGUCAAGUCAGCAUGGCCUUUAUGCCUUGGGCAACACACACGCUACAAUGGGUGGUACAGAGGGCAGCCAAAGAGUGAUCUGGAGCUAAUCCCACAAAGCCACCCCCAGUUCAGAUUGCAGGCUGAAACCCGCCUGCAUGAAGUUGGAGUUGCUAGUAACCGCAGGUCAGCAUACUGCGGUGAAUACGUUCUCGGGCCUUGUACACACCGCCCGUCACGUCAUGAAAGCUGGCAACACCUGAAGUCGAUGUGCUAACUCGCAAGAGAGGUAGUCGCCGAAGGUGGGGUUAGUAAUUGGGACGAAGUCGUAACAAGGUAGCUGUACCGGAAGGUGCGGCUG
This 1200-nucleotide ribosomal RNA is filed under the name metagenome. Its description in RNAcentral is "bacterial SSU rRNA". It matches the Rfam family "Bacterial small subunit ribosomal RNA", at positions 298 to 1520 of the family's 1533-position model. The record is from RNAcentral.